CUGAACAUUUGAUGAUCGGCAUUAUUGCAUGCAAAUCACCAUGAAACAGUAGUGCAGAUGGAUGGAGGCGAAUUUUAGAGAAUUAAUGUUUUCAGGGAGGAGAUAAUGAGAUGGAUCGAUUACUAUCGCGUUUGCAGGUUAAUUGGGAGCAAUGAGCACUGACACGAGAAGCUGCGAUGUGAAGAUAUGAAUGGCUUCCUGUCUCUCCCAGCCUGACGAAGUCUUGUCAUCUGCAGCUGUAGUAGCCUAAUCUGAAUAUUUAUCUGAUAUUUCUUGUCGUCAGAAACGGCUUAGAAUUAGUUGGUGAUUGACUUUUGGUGUGUAGGAAAAGAAGAAAAAAAAAACAGAAAAGGAACAGAUGCUAAAGGUGUUGUGGGGUGUGUGUGUGUGUGUGUGAGUGUGAUCAUGGACUGCUCGGUGUACAUAUUAUUGUCCGGUUAGUGUGGAUCUCCCUUUCUUUCUUUUUGCUACUGAUGUUAUCCUUUUUUUCUUAGUGCGCAUCUUGUUGCAUUCAUAUGGACUUUGACCGUGGAUAAAGAUAAGGGAUUUUUUUCAACUUUGGAAAGCAUGGAUGAUCGCUAUUUAAUCUC
Molecule: small RNA, 590 nt
Filed under: Oryza sativa Japonica Group (Japanese rice)
Lineage: Eukaryota; Viridiplantae; Streptophyta; Magnoliopsida; Poales; Poaceae
Description: sRNA Os08g0429200
Source: RNAcentral